Molecule: ribosomal RNA, 1323 nt
Filed under: uncultured bacterium
Lineage: Bacteria
Description: bacterial SSU rRNA
Rfam family: Bacterial small subunit ribosomal RNA
Source: RNAcentral
GGAUGAACGUUGGCGGCGUGCCUAAUACAUGCAAGUCGAACGAAGACUGUAGUAAUACUGUCUUAGUGGCGAACGGGUGAGUAACGCGUGGGUGACCUGCCCCGAAGUGUGGGAUAACAGUUCGAAAGGAUUGCUAAUACUGCAUAAUAUCCAAGAGAUUAGACGCUUUUGGAUUAAAGGAGUAAUUCGCUUCGGGAGGAGCCUGCGUCCCAUCAGCUAGUUGGUAGGGUAACGGCCUACCAAGGCAAUGACGGGUAGGGGACCUGAGAGGGUGGCCCCCCACAAUGGAACUGAAACACGGUCCAUACACCUACGGGUGGCAGCAGUAGGGAAUAUUAGAAAUGGGCGGAAGCCUGAUCUAGCAACACCGCGUGUGCGAUGAAGGCCUUCGGGUCGUAAAGCACUUUUUGGAGGGAAUAGGAAGGAAGGUACCUCCAGAAUAAGUCUCGGCUAACUACGUGCCAGCAGCCGCGGUAACACGUAGGAGGCAAACGUUAUCCGGAUUCACUGGGCGUAAAGCGCGUGCAGGUGGUUUCGUAAGUAGGGCGUGAAAGCUCCCGGCUCAACUGGGAGAGGCCGUACUAAACUGCGGAGCUAGAGGAUGGUAGAGGGAGGUGGAAUUCCAGGUGUAGUGGUGAAAUGCGCAGAUAUCUGGAGGAACACCAGUGGCGAAGGCGGCCUCCUGGACCAUACCUGACACUCAGACGCGAAAGCUAGGGUAGCAAACGGAAUUAGAGACUCCGGUAGUCCUAGCCCUAAACGAUGCAGACUAGGCGUCGGCGGUUUAAUCACCGUCGGUGUCCAAGCUAACGCGAUAAGUCUGCCGCCUGAGGACUACGGCCGCAAGGCUAAAACUCAAAGGAAUUGACGGGUCCCCGCACAAGCAGCGGAGCGUGUGGUUUAAUUCGAUGCUCCGCGAAAAACCUUACCUGGGUUUGACAUAACAGUGGUAGAGAAGUGAAAACGGACCGACCCCUCGGGGAGCUGUUACAGGUGUUGCAUGGCUGUCGUCAGCUCGUGUCGUGAGAUGUUCGGUUAAGUCCGCUAACGAGCGCAACCCGCGCUGUGUGUUACAAGUGUCACACAGUACCGCCGGUAUUAAGUCGGAGGAAGGUGCGGAUGACGUCAAGUCAGCAUGACCUUUAUAUCCAGGGCUACACACACGCUACAAUGGCCGGCACAACGGGUAGCCAACCUGCGAGGGGGAGCCAAUCCAAGAAAGCCGGUCUCAGUUCGGAUUGCAGGCUGCAACCCGCCUGCAUGAAGUCGGAGUUGCUAGUAAACGCGCAUCAGCCAUGGCGCGUUGAAUACGUUCCCGGGCCU